CGAAGGGGGCUAGCGUUGUUCGGAUUUACUGGGCGUAAAGCGCACGUAGGCGGAUCGUUAAGUCGGGGGUGAAAUCCUGGAGCUCAACUCCAGAACUGCCUUCGAUACUGGCGAUCUUGAGUCCGGAAGAGGUGAGUGGAACUCCUAGUGUAGAGGUGGAAUUCGUAGAUAUUAGGAAGAACACCGGUGGCGAAGGCGGCUCACUGGUCCGGUACUGACGCUGAGGCGCGAAAGCGUGGGGAGCAAACAGGAUUAGAUACCCUGGUAGUCCACGCCGUAAACUAUGAGAGCUAGCCGUUGGAGGGUUUACCCUUCAGUGGCGCAGCUAACGCAUUAAGCUCUCCGCCUGGGGAGUACGGUCGCAAGAUUA
Molecule: ribosomal RNA, 370 nt
Filed under: uncultured organism
Description: bacterial SSU rRNA
Rfam family: Bacterial small subunit ribosomal RNA
Source: RNAcentral